Molecule: ribosomal RNA, 450 nt
Filed under: uncultured bacterium
Lineage: Bacteria
Description: partial 16S ribosomal RNA
Rfam family: Bacterial small subunit ribosomal RNA
Source: RNAcentral
UGCCAGACUCCUACGGGAGGCAGCAGUGGGGAAUAUUGGGCAAUGGGCGCAAGCCUGACCCAGCAACGCCGCGUGAAGGAAGAAGGCUUUCGGGUUGUAAACUUCUUUUCUGAGGGACGAAGAAAGUGACGGUACCUCAGGAAUAAGCCACGGCUAACUACGUGCCAGCAGCCGCGGUAAUACGUAGGUGGCAAGCGUUAUCCGGAUUUAUUGGGUGUAAAGGGCGUGUAGGCGGGAAAGCAAGUCAGAUGUGAAAACUCAGGGCUCAACCCUGAGCCUGCAUUUGAAACUGUUUUUCUUGAGUGCUGGAGAGGCAAUCGGAAUUCCGUGUGUAGCGGUGAAAUGCGUAGAUAUUAGGAGGAACACCAGUGGCGAAGGCGGCCUGCUGGACUGCAACUGACGUUGAGGCUCGAAGGCGUGGGGAGCAAACAGGAUUAGAUACCCGCGUAA